CGCGCACACCACCAUAGAAUCCCCCCGACCCCAACGCGCCUUCUUCCGCCGGAGGCAAGCGUCGUGGGCGAGCGAGUGGAUCGGCCGCACCACUUCUCCCACCUUCCUUCCUCCACAGCGAGUGGAUCGGCCGCACCGACCACCGGCCUCACCAUCGCGCCGCCGCCCCGGCCGCCCAGCGCGCUGCCGCCCCAGCCACCGGCCGCCCAGCGCACCGCCGCCCCUUCCACCUGGGCGCCACCGCGCCGCCUCCUUCCUCCCUGCGCGCAGCGCCGCCCGGCCUCAUCCUCCCUGCCCCAACCUCCUCCCCUUCUCCAGCACGCCUCCACUUCUCGUCCGCCGGCGCGGCUCCACCUCCUCGUCCCGGCCGGCCAGGUGAUGCGCGUGCAUUAGUUCACGCGAGGCCCGGCCGCCAGGCACCCUUUCGCCAUCUGGCACGACGCCAUGGGUAAAUCCAGAGAUGGAGCUACCGGUUCCAGCAUCGGCACUUGUGACGUCAGUCCACGGACGUGCUUGACGCCGUCCACAACUCCAUCGCGCUCGAGCAGAUCAUCUUCCUCAAUGUUCCGGCCACGGCUCCCCACUGCCAAACACGAGAUCCCAACCGCUUCUUCUGUAAAAACUGAAGUUAUCUGAAACGUUGGCAGUCUACAAAUUAUAUUAUUGGUAGUAGCUGUUCAAUGUAUAUAUUAGAAGAAGUAAAAAAGGAAAACAGUGGUGCCCGUGCAUGAGGACAUGAGGUGGCACCACACAAAGCAGCAAUAAUAACACUGAAUGGGGCUUGUUGAUGGCAAGCAUAUCUGAAGACUUUGGUGAAGAAACACCACUACAGGUGGCACCACUACAUAUUUUGUCAGGCUCGCCUUUUCGAUGCGCAAAAUGAUGAGCGAUAAAGCUCUGGUCAGGAAACUUUUUGCAUGCGAGACAAUGGGUUCUGCAACAACAAUUUGCACUGACAAGACUGGAACAUUAACUUUAAAUCAGAAGGAAUUGAUCAGAAUACAUCUGUAAGCAUAUUUGAGCCGGAGCUGUGUGGCUUAAUGGUGGUGGAGGUCGUUCUGUAGACUGCCUCCAGUGCUCGUGCCACGGCAUUCACCGCCACCACUCUAGACCGUUCACCAUCGCCUGGCGAGUCCGUUCAACAACGGAGGGGGCGUCGUGCUGCGGGUGGACGUGGUGUUGCGAUGGGGUCCUCGAUAGUUAGGGCUCCUUCAUAGAGGAGCACAGGCGGCGGCUGGCAAAAAUGCAUGACACAGCGCUCCACUGGCCUUCCUCCUCUCGCUGGGAGGCUGUCAGCCUGUUGUUGACUCAUUUUGUGUGUGUUGGAAGAGAACUCACUCGUCCCAGCUGCUAAAUUUCUUGCAUCUGAGUGCACCACAAAAAGUGGCAAAAAGAAAUGGAUAAAAAAGGAGUUCUCACAUCACGUGACGUGCCAAAAAGAGUCCAAGCCUCACAACUCAAUGCGGGGUCAGACCAGAUGACCAACAUCUCUCCUGCUCAGUAUGACAAGGAUGUCAAUGAUAAUGAAAACCUCCCUCACAGUAGAGCGGCGGAGUGCAUCCUUGCCAUCUACAUUUCAGAGCCCCAUCAGUUCAGCGUGAUCUCUCCGGUCAGCUGCUCAACAACAGAAGCAUGUACCGCCCAGUACAUGUAUUACUAUUGCGAAGGUUCAAAAAUCUGGACUCAACAAGUUCAACGUUGAUGGUACUGUGCACAUGCGCUAAGCCGUUCUACAACAUAGCGCUAAGCCGUUCUAUGCUGCAGCUCGGGAGGUGAAGGAGCUCCCCUUGGGUUCAUCUUGCAAGUUUCGUUCAAACUUGGCCACCUAGGCUGUUCAACAGCAUCAGCAGAACCCGUUUAGUUGGUGGCGUUCCUGCAGCUGCAGAUGUGGUGCUGACAGUACUAGGCGUUGGUUGUGUUUGAUCAAAUGCCUAGGAGCUCCCAUGAUUUACACAUGGAAUCCAGAUGAUUAUGUUUCUUCAUCCCCCAAGUACUUCAAUGGUGGCUCCUUCCCGGUUGGCUCAAUUGCUGCUGGAUUUAGAAAAACUAAUAUGUGAGGAUUAUCUCAGGUUUCUUUUUGAACUUGUAGUGUUACUGUACAUGAACUUGUGCAUUACCUUGUUAUCAAUUUAUGUGUAUGUGUGUUGGUAACCACGGCUACUAGCUACUAGUUACCGAUCUGACUAUUGUAUUAGUGCAGCUGCUCUAUGUAAUUAGCCCCUUGUUGGGUGAAUCUUGUACUAUUUGCUAGCUUUGGCAUUGUAAAAAUACAACAAGUUCAUAGCUAAAAAAGUUAUAAGUUCAACACAGCGUA
Molecule: ribosomal RNA, 2314 nt
Filed under: Triticum aestivum (bread wheat)
Lineage: Eukaryota; Viridiplantae; Streptophyta; Magnoliopsida; Poales; Poaceae
Description: partial small subunit ribosomal RNA
Source: RNAcentral